UAUGAUCGAUGAUGUAAGCGAUGAUGUCAUAAAUUAUGGCAAAAAGACUAUUUUACCCUUACUCUACCAAGCUUAUAAAUAGAAGCUCAUUCCUUCAUUAUUCUUCACGAAUUCCCUAAAGCUAUAGAGCGAGAAAGAAUAGAGAAAAUAAGAGAGAAAGAAGAAGAAUCUUCUGUUACUACAAUAUUGCGGUAUCCAAUUUCCUACUAAGGUAAGGGAUAUUAUUUGUUGUACUUGUAAGGGGUAUUAUUUUUUUUUCAUAUUCAUGAAGAGAACUUCUGUUAUUCCAUUCUUUAUUAUUCUUUUGGAAUGAGAG
RNAcentral lists this long non-coding RNA (316 nucleotides) under Panax ginseng (ginseng). Its description in RNAcentral is "long non-coding RNA (PGIN_LNC018668)". Lineage: Eukaryota; Viridiplantae; Streptophyta; Magnoliopsida; Apiales; Araliaceae. The record is from RNAcentral.